UCUUCCAUGCCUCACCAAUACAUCUUCUCUUCAAGAUUUUUCGCCCGACCAACUAUUUCAUUAACCGGAGCUAAAUCCUGAAUUGCUCUUUCAUUACAAUGCAGUAAUCAGUCUAUCUUCAAUUCUAAUUGGUCAUGAUGCAGAUGCAGGAUCGUAAUGGUUUUGGCUGCAAAAACCAGCGAGAAUAGCAAGGAAAUCAAUGGUAUUAGUGGUGGAAUUUAAAGACGAAGAUCAAUUGCAGAAUGGGUUCAUGUUGAGGGUGAUGGAGAUGACAGUUAACAACAACAAAUCUGGGGCUGUUUCGGGUUCGAUGUUGUGCUGUAAUCGGGGAUUUCGGUUUUAGUGUGUAUCUAAUUUUGAAAUUGAACCUCCAGAUUUGGAUGCGGUGCGGCUAUUGUUUUGAUUGGGUUCUGAAAUUGCAAGGGCAUCGACAACCCCAAAACUGAAGUUGUUAGUUUCAGUUACUUUUAACUGUCUCUUGAGAUUUAAGGGAGGAAAUAGUAUACACCUUUCCAAAGUCACAAGUAAAAUUAUAUGGGAAAAGGCGCCUAACGGUCCAUAGCAGGAGUUGUUCAAGAAGAACUUGCAAAGGCCAUGUCCAAUCAUGGGUAUGAGAUAGUUCAAACUCUUAUCGUGGAUACUUAGCUAGAUGUGCAUGUGAAAAGGGCAAUGAGAUAGCAACCAAUGCUUCUUAGAGAUUUAGCAAGCUCGUUCUCUACACCACCAGUCGAAGAUCCGAACAUUGUCGUGUGCCUGAUUAGUUGUUCACCAGGCUUAAAAACUUGAUCUUUAAACAUUGUUAUCGGUCAUAAAUCAAACACUCAAGUAAUUUAAGGUUAGGAUCUCUUUCUCCAGUUUAAUUAUUUAAUUGUAUCUCUAUAAGUCUGUACAAACCAAAUCACCAAACUCAUUUUCCAUUGAAGGAAAAGUAAAAUGAUUUGUAUGAUUUAGAGUUUAGACUCCUUUUCCUCUCAAAUGGGAGAGUUAGAGUUUAUGAAAGAUUCAUGGAGCUGAACAUGUCAAUGUGGUGAUGGAAACUACUAGAAUGCCUUUCUUAACGCUUGGAUUUUGAAGUGGCGUAUAUGCCGCUUGAAGUAGAAGGUAAUUAUUCUCCUGGAAAACGCAUUACUACAUUAUUUUGGUUAUACUAAAUCACUGAAUUGUAAAUAAUUUUAUUCUCUAAUAUUCUUAUUCCCUUUAUCAUUACAUCCUUACUUAUUCCACAUCAAGUAAGUCUUUGUUCAUAUUAGUCAUACGAUUAGGCUUGGAAGUGAAUAACUUGCUUGGUGGAGAAGAUGUAAUGAGAGUUUCAGUGGACAAUAAAGAUGAUGUGAAACAGGAUUUUCCACAUUCUUUGCAGCGUAGUCUGGGCUGAAUUUUCACCUAUUUUGGAGGAGGAGUGGUUUUCCAAGUUCUCUAUUAUCAACUACCUAGACAGGGCUACUUUCAAAUACAUUCGUUGUACUGCCAACAUGACUCGAUAAGACUACACAGUUGUUUUACUGAUGCCCUUAACUAAAGUCGGUUGUCGUGCAUAAAACAGAUCCGCGCUUAACGGACUCUGAUACAAUUCUUGCGAUAUCCGCUAUCUAUAAGAGAGGAAAUCUGUUGAGGUCCCAUUAUAUGACUUCAAGUGUAGCAGUCGAAGAGUAUACAGGUUGGGCCUCACCCGAUUGAACAGUGAGUACAUAAUAAUGGUUUUGAUGAUCUUUCACAGAAUUUUAAUUAGCUUAGGAUAUUUUCUCACUAGGCAAAAGGAAAAAGAAUCAGUAGGAAGCGGGAAAAAAAAAUGAAACAGAAAUUUAUCUUUCGAUAGAUGAGGAGAAAACUACAUUGUUGUUGUCUCAGUUUAGCAUAUUGAGGUCGUGACUUCGUUACCUGAUUAGCAAGUCAUUCAAUAUAUAGUUGAGCUAUUACCAUGUGCAAACUUAUUUUUUUCCAUGUAUCUGUACUGUAUUGGACUUCUGAGCUGUCUAAUAAUUUAGUAAAAAUUACUUGCGGUUUCAGUAAAAUUAUUUGGUUUAAUUCUUAAACUCAUGUUUUAUUUCCUUUUCUUUUUCUGUCCUAUAAUUUUUUUUUUUGAUGCAAUUACCAAUGAAUUCUGCAAAUAUGACGCUAACGACUUAUCGGAGACAUGUAUGCAUAUAGUUCACACCAUAUUGGAAAAAUAUUAGGCACUCACAUUCAGUGUAGGAGAUGCUAGAAAUGCUAGGGUUCAUCCCAAGUGUUUUGAUGUUCAUUUGAGGUUUAAUUACAGACAGUAGCCCCAUCUAUCCCAGCCAUUGUUUUUCUAUAUAUUGGCAAGUUUUUAAUUUGAGUGUUGUUGUCCCAUUGUUGGUUUUGUAAACCUUCAUUAAAAUUACCACUGUGUCAUUAUUAUCAUCAAUUUGUUCUAAUAUGUUUUUGAAUGGAUGGAUUGAGUUUAUUCUCAUUGUAGUCAUGGUUCAUUCUACGUUUUGGUGGCAGAAGCCCCAAGGCUAUUGUUUGACUAUGGUUGGCAAGCUCACAGGAAAUGGAAAUGGAAAUGUCUUCCUUGGACCAACCCAAUGGAGACAUUGGCUGAGAAGCUGGUGGCAUGAGGUGUACUACUUGGUCAUUGGAGGUGUACUAUUUGAUAUGGGAAUUACUUUGCUCAUUAUGGGAGGUGCUGGAAGUAGUACAGGUUAUGGGGUGAAUGGUGGUUUGAUGUUGGAGAUGGUGGGCAGAGGGGGUGAAUAUGUGGUUGUAAUGCUGGCACUGGUGGUUGUAUUAGGAAUUUAGACUGUCUACAAUUUUCUGUCAGGAUUAGUAAUGUGAUUCCUUUAUUCAUUACUUUGCCAUU
Papaver somniferum (opium poppy) is the source of this 2821-nucleotide long non-coding RNA. RefSeq lists it as uncharacterized. The transcript has 6 exons. The record is from RefSeq and is a predicted model, not a curated record. NCBI's taxonomy places the organism in Eukaryota, Viridiplantae, Streptophyta, Magnoliopsida, Ranunculales, Papaveraceae.